GUAUCCGGUUUUGUUCACCCAAAUUAACUGAGCUAAUUGUGUUUCUUGUGCGCAUAUAAACCAGUCCUCUAAUUACUGACAGAACUGUAGGGCUGCACCUUCGAUGUUACGCAUUUAAGCCUAAUAUGAGCGAAACAAAGUCCAAUUGAAAUUCAUUCAUUCAUUAAAAACGAUCAUUCAUCGAAGUAAUUAACAUCCCCGAUGAUAAACACGGGAACAAUACUCUAAUCAGCGGCCGGUCUGAGUUUGACUCCCCUCGGUGCUCCGCGUGAACGCGCGCAGCGGGCCUGCUGGGCCGUGUGUGGCCAUGGCAACAGGGCGCGCCUAAUUAACGGCGGAAGCCUUCACUUCUCUUCUCCCCGUCGGUGUUUCAGCACGGGGCUAAGAUUGGCGCUGGCCCCGGGGUUUGUGGGAACCGGGACAGCCCUUUCACGAAAGCCCUCCUCAGGUCGACAUUAUUACACGGUUAAUUAAGUCGGUUCAACGGGCGCGAGCUCGAGCAAACAGCAGGGGCGAUUGUUUUCCGCUGCCCUCCCCAACUAGCUUGCUAAUUACUCCGUGGACUGCCCCUAACCUGGAUGCAUUCUGAAGGGCUCAGCUGACCCCGUAAUUAAAGCUUGAACCUCCCCAAAAGGAAGUCAGCAAGAAAGGCCCUGAGGUGACCAACUUAAAACAGGUGACUCGUUUUGGAAGCAAAACAAACACAAGAAGGGGAUUUGGGCUGGAGGCAGCUGUGGAUCCUGCACGCUCAGCUGGUGACGCACAAAGAAACAGGUGACGGCGACGGGAUGUUUGCCCUGCAAGGGUGCCGCCACGUGCUUCUUUCCCCUGGAACGAGCUCUCCCAGUAAAAUCUGCACCUGGCCUGGUGGUCUUGGCAACAUCGGACAACCUCUAGCAGAUGUUCUCCUCUCUUUUGUCGAUGACUUCGCGGUGGCUGCUCUGCAAGACAAAACUGCGGAUCAUCUCAUGGCUUCCUCUGCUGCAGAGAUCAUUAAUGAUGAUGAGGCUUUACUCCGUCACUGGAUCCGGGGUGAAAGUUGCCCUUUGGCUGUGUGACAGACAGGAAGAAAGGGACGCUCAGGCUAGUGUGAAGGUAUAGUGAAUUAAAGAAACAAUACAAGGCUUUUACUGCAGAGGGUCACUGAUAUGCACACACAAACCUGUUUAGGGAUAUCUGGAGUGCGUAUUCAUAGACAAAGCGUAGUACAUGCCAGAAAAAUAUCAUUUACGGAAUCAGUUAAUAAAGAUGGACUGAUAUGUUG
Long non-coding RNA from Carassius auratus (goldfish), 1264 nucleotides. RefSeq lists it as uncharacterized. The transcript is spliced from 3 exons. The record is from RefSeq and is a predicted model, not a curated record. NCBI's taxonomy places the organism in Eukaryota, Metazoa, Chordata, Actinopteri, Cypriniformes, Cyprinidae.